RNAcentral lists this ribosomal RNA (253 nucleotides) under uncultured bacterium. RNAcentral describes it as "partial 16S ribosomal RNA". It matches the Rfam family "Bacterial small subunit ribosomal RNA", at positions 524 to 776 of the family's 1533-position model. The record is from RNAcentral.
UACAGAGGGUGCGAGCGUUGUCCGGAAUCACUGGGCGUAAAGGGCGCGUAGGUGGCGCGACAAGUCAGUGGUGAAAGUUCGACGCUCAACGUCGAAUCGGCCACUGAUACUGUUGGGCUUGAGCACUGUAGAGGCUAAUGGAAUUCCGGGUGUAGCGGUGGAAUGCGUAGAGAUCCGGAAGAACACCGGUGGCGAAGGCGGCCUGCUGGGCUAUGGCUGACACUGAGGCGCGACAGCGUGGGGAGCAAACAGG